CUUAGAAUUUGGGACAUGUCGUUUAGCGAAAUUCCAAAGCCUUACCCAAAAUAAUAAUACGCUAGUCGUUUUAGGUGCGCCUUUAAUAAUUUAAUUUUCUUAAACUCGGAUGUGACCCAAAUCCAAAUCUCAGCGGAGUCAAAGUGUGUCGACGACCACGGGUACAUUGAUUGUGACGCGGUUUGAGAUACAUUUUCACAACGUUGCAAUUCCCUGUAAAAAUAAUAAUAAUUAUGAAAGCGGUAAAAAAAGUUAAAAUUUGCACAUAAGUUUUUAUUUGUAUAAAAUCAGAUAAUCAAGCCUAAUAUGACAGUUGAGCGACCGUGCUAGAACCACGGAACUCGGGAAUGCCUAACACCUUCUCUCGGGUUAACAAAAUUCCUUAUCCGGAUUUCUGGUACGCAGACUGUAAUAUGGAGUCAUUAUUUUCCUCGAUCCGGGAUUAAAAAUUGGUGACUUGGGACACCCUAAAUCUCCCAAGUGGCGACUCUGAAAUAAAUAAACAAAUCCCGUUUCGAUUGUCCUUUAAUUGGAAAAAAUCCUUGUACCCUCUCGGGAGCGGAAAAAGGAGGUGUGACACCCAUUAGAUUCCUAGUCCUAAACCUUGUUCUUUCAUGGUAGAAUUAGGUAUUUUUGGAAGAAUCGGGGGGGGGGGGGGGGGGUUUGCCAAUUGAGGAUUUAGACCUCGAUUUGGGGUCGGAUUCUAAAACUAAUUAUAUAUUCGGGCUCGGGGUGAAUGGGUUUUGGUCAAAACCUCGAGUUUUGGCCAAGCAGGCCCGGGGUCGAUUUUGAUUUUUGGGGAAAGUGUUGGGAAAACCUAAAAUCAUGUAUUGAAGUUUAUUUCUUUAGCAAUAUUUGAUACUAUUGAGUUAAUUGUCGCUAGAUACGAUUGGUUCGGAGGUGGAUACUAGAGGAAAAGAGGUAAUUGAGCAUUGGGUCGCCUGCGGAGCGAGGUAAGUUUUGUGUCUAACCUUGGCUUGAGGGAUUAGGUAUUGUUGCCUAUUUGCUACAUGUUUGGUUGUUGAGUACAACGUAUAGGUGAGGUGACGAGUACCUAUGCAUUGUUGUUGAGUCAUAGCAUGCGAGUGAGUCUUAUUCUUGUAAUCGUUAUAUUCUUUAAUCAUAUUAUUCAUGCUUAGACUAGUUAUUCUUUAUGUUGAAAAACUCUUAUCAUGUUUUAUGGAAUUUGAUAUUGAUUGAGUAUAGACUCAAAGUUGAGGUUGACAUUGUGGAACUAAAUGUUGAAGUGAGACUUGUCAUCGGUAAUUCUAUCUCCCUGUUGUUAUUAUUCAUUAUUUUGGUGAGGCAGAGUGUAAAGCAUAAAGGGUGAUGUCGUGCCAUUUAAUAUUCAUUAUCGUGUGAGGAAGAGUGUAAAGAACAAUGGGUGAUGCUGUGCCAUUUCAUAUCCAUUAUCAUGUGAGGAAGAGUGUAAAGCACGAAGGUUGAUGUCGUGUCAUUUUAUAUUCAUUAUCAUCGUUUCUUUCAUUUAUUCUGGUGAGGUGAGAGUAAAAGCACGAAGAGUGAUGUUGUGCACUUGUUUUGCUAUGUUUAAUAUUUUCAUUGGUGCAAAGUAUGUUUUUUGUUGUGUUUCUUUACUGUUACCAUUUUCAUGAUCUUGUACUCCCCUCAGCAUGUUUCCCCCUCCCAUUAUUAUUUGUUUAGUUUCUAUGAGUUGUUAUUGCUCGUAUAUUGUUUAACUGCAUAUGUUUAUGUUGUUGUUUUGUCCUAACCUCGUCACUACUUCGCCGAGGUUAGGCUCGGCACUUACCAGUAUAUGGAGUCGGUUGUACUGAUACUGCAUUCUGCACUUUCUGUUCAAAUUUCGGUACCGAUUCGAGCUGAUCUUUAGUUUAGUUGCUGGCUUCAUCUGAUCGGAGAUCCAAGAUAGACCUGUUGGCGUCCGCAGGCCCUGACGUCCCCUUCCAUACAUUCACUUUACUAUUUUUUUUGGUAUAGAAAACAGUUAUAUUUCCUUCAGACAUUUGUUGUAGUUAAAUCUUAGAAGUUCGUGGAUUAUGCUUCAGAUUCUGGGUAGCUUUAUAUAUUAAGAUUGUUAUGGAUUUCGACACUCUUUUUAACUUGUUAUGGUUUAAUUAUUAUUAAUCACUGAAAGGCUUAAGAAUUGGUUUAAUAAUCUCUAACAUUGGCUUACCUAGAAAGUAAAAUGUUAGGCGUCAUCACGGUUCUUACGGUGAGAAUUCCGGAUCGUGACACUAAAUGAAUUAGGUGCAGUGAAAGAAUUAUACAGGAUCUUUAUACAAAUAGCUGGUCAUAUUCGACAUUUACUUUUUCUAGUCAUAUACAUAGACUAUAUGUUGAUUAUACAUAAUUAUACACAUAUAAUGUAAGCACAUAAUUUUUGACCCGGGCAACUUUUAAAAGUAGUAUUUUAAAAAUAUUUACUUAUUUUUCAUUUUAAUAGAAUUUCAGUCAACUUUUAAUUUUGAAAAACAUAAGUUCAAAUACACAAAAAAAUAGCUUUAUAAUAUUUCUUCUCUUAUUAUAUAUCUUUUUUUAAUCUUUUAUUUAUUUAUUUAAGUUUAUUAGUAUUUUAUAAUGAUAACAUUAUAAUUUUUACCAUUACUUUAAUAUAGUUUUCUGUACCUUUUUCUAACAUCUAAAAAUACCAAAAAUAUUUUUAUUUUAAUAUAUAGUUCACUUUAAUAGUUUAUUCUUAUUAAUUAGUAUAUUUCAGUAGUAUUUUUAUUUUUAUUUUUGUUCAAUGAGAAAGAAUUGAAUUUGGGCCAAUUGGGAGCUCAUUUUCGGAUUUUAGUAGUCCGGCAAGACAAAGGUUUAUUCUUCUCAACCCAUUAGCCCAUUCUCCACUUAAACGCAAGAUUUAAUCUUAGUCAUCUACUCCUCUCUAAUCCAGCGAUCAUUAUCCCUUCCCACCUGCUCAUAAAAUACCAAUUAUGAAAACCGUAACCCCAAUCUUGAAAGAGAAGGAAACGACUCCCCUUCAAAAAAAGUCAUCUCUAUCCUGACACAUUUUUCAUUUUUCAAAAGCAGCAGAUGGGCAAAAGCUUUUGAGCUCAAAGUACGGACCCCCCUCCCAUUUCAAAAAAAGAACAAAACAACUCAAAAGAAAAUGGACAAAAACAGAUACAUACAUAGAGGAACGAAAAAGUGACAAAUUUGAGGGGAAUUAAAAGAUUAGACGCCAUUUGCUAUCAACGUGAACUGCUGCUUUUCUUGUUCUUCGAUUCAGCUAAAUUGAGUCCGUUCGCGGCUCGAUUCACGGUUCCGUCGAGGUUGGCUGUCUCUUAGCUUUUCUUUUUCUUCCUAUAAAGUGCUUCAUCGAUGCUUGUUUUAUAUUGCAGCACUUUGGUUCGUAUAAAUGAAAGAUUUGUUGAUUAAUUUGGGUGUAGCAGCUUUACUUUAUAUUUCACUCUUCUUCUACUUUCGAUUCUGACGAUGUUAAUUGAUUUGUCAUAAUCUCGUCCAAGCAUGCCAGAUUUGCUCUGUAUUUCUUAUUCAAGCCUCGGGUCUUAUCUAUUAUUGUAACGACCUAAUUGGUUGUUUUGCUUUUUAGAACCCCGUUCCAAUAGAUAAGACUUCCCGUACUUGCUUUUACUUAUUUAUGACUUGCAGGAAUGGUUGGUUCGGGAUUUGGAAGAGUUUGGAUUGAAAUCAAACAUUUGGUUCCUUAAGGUUGGCUAAAAAGGUCAAGUUUGACUUCGGUCAACGUUUUGAGUAAACGACCUCGGAAUUCGAAUUUUAAGGUUCCAACAGGUUCAUAUGAUGAUUUCGAACUUGAGCGUAUGUCCGAAUCGGGUUUUGGAUGACCCGGGAGCGUUUUGGUGCCUAAUAGUGAAAGUUGAUUCCUUAUUUUGAAGUUCUUAAAUAUUUGGUUUGAAGUGGAUUUUUGUGUUAUUAAGGUCCAAACGGAGUUCCGAGACCGGGAAUAGUUCUGUAUUGCCAUUUAAGACUUGCACACAAAAUUUGGUAUAAAUCCAAGUAGUGUAAGUGUGUUUCGUCGCAUUGGAGGUAAAUUGAAGAAUUUAAAGUUCACAAGUUUGAUCCACUUGGUUUUAGGGGGUGAUUCUUAGAUUUAGCAUUGUUUUGGGCGUUCCGAGGGUUCGCGCAAGUCCGUUAUAUGAUUUCAAACUUGUCGGUAUGUUCGGGCAGGACCUGGGGACCCCGAGUGUCAAUCAGACGAGGCUCGAUGAAGUUGUAAAAUUUUGAAAGGAGCUGAAACUCCAGGUAUCUGUCAUAACUGCACCUGCGGUUGGUCAGCUGCAGGUGCGAGACCGCAGAAGCGGUCGAGCCCUCGCAGGUGCGGCCAAGGGGGAGGAGCCCAGGAACCGCAAAUGCGGCUCCUUUUCCGCAGAAACGGACCUGCAGGAGCGGCCCCAGACCGCAGAAGCGGUCCCAGCCAGCCCAGCCCAGCUCCACAGAUGCGGACAUUCACCCGCAGAAGCGAGUUGCCCCGAACCGCAGGUGCGAAAAUCGUUGAAGGCAGUGCCUUCAUUUAAUACGGGAAUGUGCCAUUUUUUUACACAUUUCCUUCAUUGUUUGGGCGAUUUGGGAGCUUCCAAAGAGGGAAUUUCAAUCUAUCAUUGUGAGGUAAGUUAUUUCUACUUAAUGUGAGUUUAAUACUUGGGUUUUGGGUAGAUUAACACAUAAAGAUUAGUGAAAAUCAUGGGAUUAGAGUAAAACCUAGGGUUUUGAUAAAAACAAGAUUUAACCACGAACUUUAUUAUGCAAUGAAACAGAAAUCAUAUAUUCUUGAUCCUUAGGUUAUGAGUAACAACUUCCCUCAAAAAAAAAAAUUGGAAUCCGGGUACGUGGACCCGGGGAUGGAUUUUAGGAAACUUGUAUUUAGGGUUGGGGAAUUACUUUAAUAGUUGGAAUAUGAACUCUUGAGCUUGUAUUGACUAGUUCUUACCCCGUUUAAUUAGUUAUGGAUCGUUCGGCUGCGGAGUUAAGGGUUUGAGCACAUUCUUGAUAUUGGAAGUAAGCUUUGGAGCGAGGUGAGUCUCCUUUCUAACCUCGUAAGAGGGAAAUAAACCCCUAAGUGAAUCUAAUAAAUGUAUGAGAUUGUUUGUGGCGGCUACGUACGUACGUGAUGACGAGAGUCUGUGCGUAGCUACUAUUAUGCUAAUUGUACGAGUAGUUUCGGACCCGUAUUAUGCCAUACUUGCAAAUGCUUAUAUUCUUUCAUGCUAAUGAGAUCACUUAGGACAUGUUAGGGAUUGAAAAUAAACAUAAACGAACGUAUGCACUUACUUGAGAACUUGUGUGAACUUAUUUGAAUAUGAUUGCGCCUUUAUGUGCCUUCUUGAUAAUAAUUGAUUAUUGUGGAUCGGGCCGAUUGCCUCGGUAGAAAUAGAUGCAUCUAUGGUUCGCGCCAUUCGACCCUCUGGCAGUGCAUAAUUUCUUUUAUGUUGGACCGGGCUGUAUGACUUCGGCAUAAUGUGCGUAUGAUAUUUAUGUGAAAUCUUAUCCAUGACUUACUCUGUUAAAUGCCUUGAAGUGCAAUUAUUCUAAGACAUGGCCGAAAGUGAUAUACUGUACUCUUUAAAUUCUGAGCUUGCCAUUAUGUUCAUGUUAUCCAUACUUAGUGUAAUAUUUAAUUAUUAUUGGCAUUGACCUUAGUAAGUGUCAAGUCGACCUCUCGUCACUACUUCUUCGAGGUUAGACUGGAUACUUGCUGGGUACAUGUUGUUUAUGUACUCAUACUACGCUUCUGUACUUAAUUGUACAGGAUCUGAGGCAGGUACAUCUGGCUACCCAUCUGGUGUGCAUCCUUGAUAGUAGGCCGAGAUUCCACGAUGAGCUGCUCCCUUCCUAUGCCGUCCAGCAGCAUGAUGGAGUCUCUCUUUGUUUUGACUGUCUAUUCUAUUUCAGACAGUAGGACAGAUUUAUUCUUUUGUAUAUUUUACUAGAUGCCCAUAUACUUGUUACACCAGGUCUUGACACACACAUUGGUAGACUAUUCUUUUGGGUUGUAUAUCUAUUACUUUAAGUUUUUAAUUAUCACUUGUUUUAAAUUCAAGUUAAGAAAAUGCUGGAGUUGUUUUGGUAAAGUAAAAUGAGAACACACUAAUAUCUUCGAGUUGGCUUACCUGACAAUGAUGUUGGGCAUCAUCAUAACCUAUAAUAAAAUUGGGUCGUGACAAUUAUUGCUAUUUAACAUAAUUUUUCUUUCCCUGUUAAACACCUGUAAACAUCAAGUUCUGCUCAUUUGUGUGUGCCCUUUCAUACAUUAUUUAGUGCCCGUUAAAGAUUGGGACUUUUGUGGUAAAAUUUAAAGGUUGGCCUACGUCAGUUGAUAAAUGAAUACCAAUUGCCUCUGUAUCUUUAAGCAUUAGUUCAAUAAUUAAGUACCGUCAUUUCUUCACAAUAAAUCCAUAGUUGUUGACCUCACAAUAAUCCUGAAUUAGUUUUAGAAAAACCAUGAACACGCGCGUAAAUAAAUUAUUGUGAUUAUGGGUACGGUUUUCGUGGCAUAAUCAGGAUAUAUAAUUCCUAAUUUGAGUGUGUGUUUCACAUGACUCGACCAUAACUUCAAAUAAUAACAAAAAUAAAUAUGUUGUAAAUCGCGGGUGUGUUUCACGUGACGCGAUUCGCAAUGUGUUCGAAUACAACAAGUGCGCACCAUUGUGACUUAUUUAAAUAAAUUUCAUAAAUCCUAAAAGCAAUUAAAACUCUAUUAAAAGCGGUUAGAAAGUUAAAAAUGCACAAUAGAUUUAAACAUAUAAUAAAUCAGAUAAUUAUGUCAAUUAUUAAUAGUUGAGAGACCGUGCUAAAAUCACGAAACUUAGGAGUGCCUUACACCUUCUCCCGGGUUAACAGAAUUCU
Molecule: long non-coding RNA, 6804 nt
Filed under: Nicotiana tabacum (common tobacco)
Lineage: Eukaryota; Viridiplantae; Streptophyta; Magnoliopsida; Solanales; Solanaceae
Description: long non-coding RNA (NTAB_LNC002085)
Source: RNAcentral